CGCACAAGUAUAAGAGUAUAACAAGGAUACAACCACAAUAAACGAACAUACAACAUCUAACCAUUUAUACAUUCAUACACCAUUCACCACAGAUUUACUUUCAGAGUUUGAACAUAAAUCCACAACUAUCAGUUGAAAUGUUUCUCCCCGGAAACUGGUUUUGAAAUACCAAGUUAUGAAAAACCACGAAAAAACCUUUUCAAAACUGUUUUCUAUACGAAAACCUUUUUCUUUUUAAAACACGCUACCACGAGGGGUAGAAAAUCAUUUGCAGUUUAUAAAACCAUAAAUCCUUUAUUACGAAAUCCCGAUUAUUCAAUGUAAUAACAAAACUGAACCAUAUAAAUGUCUAAGUCAUAUCAACAGAAAUAACGAAGGUAGCGACUAAAGUAAACAAAUCGAACAAACCGGGUCAGAAGCUCUAACGACCGCUACGAACGUGUCUCACCUCUCGUCUCAACCCUCACCGCCCG
RNAcentral lists this long non-coding RNA (473 nucleotides) under Ananas comosus (pineapple). RNAcentral describes it as "long non-coding RNA (ACOM_LNC029135)". Lineage: Eukaryota; Viridiplantae; Streptophyta; Magnoliopsida; Poales; Bromeliaceae. The record is from RNAcentral.